RNAcentral lists this ribosomal RNA (497 nucleotides) under uncultured bacterium. RNAcentral describes it as "partial 16S ribosomal RNA". It matches the Rfam family "Bacterial small subunit ribosomal RNA", at positions 28 to 507 of the family's 1533-position model. The record is from RNAcentral.
GAUGAACGCUGGCGGCGUGCCUAAUACAUGCAAGUCGAGCGAACAGACGAGGAGCUUGCUCCACUGACGUUAGCGGCGGACGGGUGAGUAACACGUGGAUAACCUACCUAUAAGACUGGGAUAACUUCGGGAAAACGGAGCUAAUACCGGAUAAUAUAUUGAACCGCAUGGUUCAUUAGUGAAAGACGGUUUUGCUGUUACUUAUAGAUGGAUCCGUGCCGCUUUAGCUAGUUGGUAAGGUAACGGCUUACCAAGGCAACGAUCCGUAGCCGAUAUGAGAGGGUGAGCUGCCUAAGCGGAACUGAGACACGGCCCAGACUCCUACGGAAGGCAGCAGCGGGGACUCUUCGUCAAUGGGCGAAAUCCUGAUGAAGCAACGCCGCGUGAGUGAUAAAGUUCUUCGGUUCUUAAAACCUUUUUAUUAGGGAAAAACAGAUGUGUAGUUAAUGAUACACGUCUUGAGGGUACCGAAUAAGAAAGCCACGGCUAACUACGUG